RNAcentral lists this microRNA precursor (106 nucleotides) under Canis lupus familiaris (dog). RNAcentral's name for it is "mir-8834 microRNA precursor family". It matches the Rfam family "mir-8834 microRNA precursor family". Lineage: Eukaryota; Metazoa; Chordata; Mammalia; Carnivora; Canidae. RNAcentral also lists the same sequence under 1 other name. The record is from Rfam by way of RNAcentral.
AGGAGGAACAACUACAGUGCCGGCGGCCAGCUCUGGAGCCCUGGACUCAGCUCCCGCAGUAACCACGGAUCUCUCCGUCUGCAGGGCCUGGAGGCUCCGGGGCGGG